RNAcentral lists this ribosomal RNA (550 nucleotides) under uncultured Glomeromycotina. RNAcentral describes it as "SSU rRNA". It matches the Rfam family "Eukaryotic small subunit ribosomal RNA", at positions 548 to 1098 of the family's 1831-position model. Lineage: Eukaryota; Fungi; Glomeromycota. The record is from RNAcentral.
UUGGAGGGCAAGUCUGGUGCCAGCAGCCGCGGUAAUUCCAGCUCCAAUAGCGUAUAUUAAAGUUGUUGCAGUUAAAAAGCUCGUAGUUGAAUUUCGGGGUUAGUAGGUUGGUCGUGCCUAUGGUAUGCACUGGCUUUACUGAUUCCUCCUUCUUGAAGAACUGUAAUGUCAUUAAUUUGGUGUUGCAGGGAAACAGGACUUGUUACUUUGAAAAAAUUAGAGUGUUUAAAGCAGGCUAACGCUUGAAUACAUUAGCAUGGAAUAAUGAAAUAGGACGUUUGAUCCUAUUUUGUUGGUUUCUAGGAUUGACGUAAUGAUUAAUAGGGAUAGUUGGGGGCAUUAGUAUUCAAUUGUCAGAGGUGAAAUUCUUGGAUUUAUUGAAGACUAACUACUGCGAAAGCAUUUGCCAAGGAUGUUUUCAUUAAUCAAGAACGAAAGUUAGGGGAUCGAAGACGAUCAGAUACCGUCGUAGUCUUAACCAUAAACUAUGCCGACUAGGGAUCGGAUGAUGUUAAUUUUUUAAUGACUCAUUCGGCGCCUUACGGGAAAC